RNAcentral lists this ribosomal RNA (250 nucleotides) under uncultured bacterium. RNAcentral's name for it is "partial 16S ribosomal RNA". It matches the Rfam family "Bacterial small subunit ribosomal RNA", at positions 505 to 754 of the family's 1533-position model. The record is from RNAcentral.
GUGCCAGCAGCCGCGGUAAUACGUAGGGGGCGAGCGUUGUCCGGAUUUAUUGGGCGUAAAGCGCGUGUAGGUGGCGUACUAAGUCUGACGUGAAAACUCUCGGCUCAACUGGGAGAGGCCAUUGGAGACUGGUAUGCUAGAGUGCAGGAGAGGGAAGUGGAAUUCCUAGUGUAGCGGUGAAAUGCGCAGAUAUUAGGAGGAACACCAGUGGCGAAGGCGGCUUCCUGGACUGCAACUGACGCUGAGACGC